This 83-nucleotide transfer RNA is filed under the name Arthrobacter sp. zg-Y1110. Its description in RNAcentral is "tRNA-Ser". It matches the Rfam family "tRNA". From Rfam's summary of the family: Transfer RNA (tRNA) molecules are approximately 80 nucleotides in length. Their secondary structure includes four short double-helical elements and three loops (D, anti-codon, and T loops). The record is from RNAcentral. Lineage: Bacteria; Bacillati; Actinomycetota; Actinomycetes; Micrococcales; Micrococcaceae. RNAcentral also lists the same sequence under 1 other name.
GGAGGAUUGGCUGAGCGGCCGAAGGCAGCGGUCUUGAAAACCGUCCCGGGAAACCGGCGGGGGUUCGAAUCCCUCAUCCUCCG